This 407-nucleotide ribosomal RNA is filed under the name uncultured bacterium. RNAcentral describes it as "partial 16S ribosomal RNA". It matches the Rfam family "Bacterial small subunit ribosomal RNA", at positions 30 to 526 of the family's 1533-position model. The record is from RNAcentral.
AUUGAACGCUGGCGGCAGGCCUAACACAUGCAAGUCGAGCGGAGCGGCGGACGGGUGAGUAAUGCCUAGGAAUCUGCCUGGUAGUGGGGGAUAACGUCCGGAAACGGGCGCUAAUCCCGCAUACUAUCAGAUGAGCCUAGGUCGGCUUAGCUAGUUGGUGGGGUAAAGGCCUAACAAGGCGACGAUCCGUAACUGGUCUGAGAGGGUGAUAAGUCACACGGGAACGUAGAAACGGGCCAGACUCCUACGGUAGGCAGCAGUGGGGAAUAUUGGACAAUGGGCGAAAGCCUGAUCCAGCCAUGCCGCGUGUGUGAAGAAGGUCUUCGGAUUGUAAAGCACUGUAAGUUGGGAGGCGUUACAAACAUAAUAAGCACCGGCGAACUUCGUGCCAGCAGCCGCGGUAAUUC